UAAAUUUGGAAAUUAAUUUGAUGCAAUCACAUCCCUUGGGAGGACAAAUUUUGUUCAAUAGCCUCUAGUUUUGAAACCCUUUGUGCCACUGGCCGAUUUUUCUGAUUCUUUGGCACUGAAGCAUUGGCAGAUCCCAUCUAGACAAAGCGGUAAGCCGCUAUGAUGUCUGCAAUAAGCUGCACAAUCGGCAUUUUUCUUGCAUUGUGGCGUCUGUGCCGAAACAUUCGUUAACAUAAAACCUGCAUUAAUAACAACAUUAAUUCAUAGAGAGAGAGAGAGAGAGAGAGAGAGAGAGAGAGAGAGAGAGAGAGACCUGAUGCAAAAAGCAAGAGAAAGGCCAGAAAAGCCACCUUCAACGAAGCCAUGGGAGACAUGAAAAUCAAGAAAAGGAUGCUGAGAAAAUAAAAGUUUCUUUAGAAUGAAUAGUAUUG
This 431-nucleotide long non-coding RNA is filed under the name Olea europaea (common olive). RNAcentral describes it as "long non-coding RNA (OEUR_LNC004373)". Lineage: Eukaryota; Viridiplantae; Streptophyta; Magnoliopsida; Lamiales; Oleaceae. The record is from RNAcentral.